RNAcentral lists this ribosomal RNA (303 nucleotides) under uncultured bacterium. Its description in RNAcentral is "partial 16S ribosomal RNA". It matches the Rfam family "Bacterial small subunit ribosomal RNA", at positions 507 to 807 of the family's 1533-position model. The record is from RNAcentral.
AGCAGUCGCCACGGUAAUACGAAGGGUGCAAGCGUUAAUCGGAAUUACUGGGCGUAAAGCGUGCGUAGGCGGUGGUUUAAGUCCGUUGUGAAAGCCCUGGGCUCAACCUGGGAAUUGCAGUGGAUACUGGCUCGCUAGAGUGUGUCAGAGGAUGGUGGAAUUCCCGGUGUAGCGGUGAAAUGCGUAGAGAUCGGGAGGAACAUCAGUGGCGAAGGCGGCCAUCUGGGACAACACUGACGCUGAGGCACGAAAGCGUGGGGAGCAAACAGGAUUAGAUACCCCCGUAGUCCCUGUCUCUUAUAC